This is a non-coding RNA of Corylus avellana, 709 nucleotides long. Lineage: Eukaryota; Viridiplantae; Streptophyta; Magnoliopsida; Fagales; Betulaceae. The record is from RefSeq and is a predicted model, not a curated record.
GCUUCUGGCCAUAAACUCACGCCCAUUUUCUUCCUCUCAAACACCGUUGACUCCACGCAUGGUGCCGUUCUGAGCAGACACAGACGACUUGCCCAUCUACGAGACGACUCCUCGGCUCCUCUCUCCCUCUCUCUCUAUUGUGGGUUCGUCGCUUUCGAAGCUAUGAACUGGAUUCAGCGCAAGAUCUAUCUUUACAAUGUCACUUUUGGGCUCUACAUGUUGGAUUGGUGGGAGCGUUAUCUUUUCAAUGCUUUGGUGAUUGUCUUGAUGUGGUUCAUUCUUUUCAAUGGAUCGCGAUCCGUAACUGAGUUCUGCAAGAGGUGGGGUGUGCAUCUCAAACAUGAUUGGAAGGAUUCAGCAGCACAAAUACAUGGGGUUUGAGUACCUCUUCUAGUACAAAGCAUAGGGUGUUCCUUUAGAUUUUUCUUUAUUCAAAGUCCUUUUUCCUUUCUGAUUCCUAGAUGUAAUAUUUCCUGGUGUUAUAGCAUAUCCUAAGGCUGAAAACUCUUUCUGCAUUAUACCAUUUCUUGGGUCCACUGGAUGAAAGAUGUCUAUUACCUCUGUGUAUUGCUUAAAAUCUUGUUAUUUUCGCUUUCAAUGUCAUAGCAUCGGUUGAUGAGAAAUUUUUGGUGCAUUUGGCUGCCACGAGACAGAUAAGGUCAUACAAUAAUGUUGUCAAAUCAUGUUUCUUGUAAGAAUUUUCAGCUAU